UUAGUGGCAGACGGGUGAGUAACAUGUAGGUAUCUGCCCUUUGGCCUGGAAUAACACGAGGAAACUUGUGCUAAUACCGGAUAAGUCUUUACGGAGAAAGCUUUAUGCACCAUUGGAUGAGCCUGCACUUGAUUAGUUUGUUGGUGGGGUAAUGGCCUACCAAGACUGUGAUCAAUAGCUGAUUUGAGAGGAUGAUCAGCCACAUUGGGACUGAGACACGGCCCAAACUCCUACGGGAGGCAGCAGUGGGGAAUCUUGCACAAUGGAGGAAACUCUGAUGCAGCGAUGCCGCGUGAGUGAAGAAGGCCCUUGGGUUGUAAAGCUCUUUCGUCGGGGAAGAAAAUGACUGUACCCGAAUAAGAAGGUCCGGCUAACUUCGUGCCAGCAGCCGCGGUAAUACGAAGGGACCUAGCGUAGUUCGGAAUUACUGGGCUUAAAGAGUUCGUAGGUGGUUGAAAAAGUUGGUGGUGAAAUCCCAGAGCUUAACUCUGGAACUGCCAUCAAAACUUUUCAGCUAGAGUAUGAUAGAGGAAAGCAGAAUUUCUAGUGUAGAGGUGAAAUUCGUAGAUAUUAGAAAGAAUACCAAUUGCGAAGGCAGCUUUCUGGAUCAUUACUGACACUGAGGAACGAAAGCAUGGGUAGCGAAGAGGAUUAGAUACCCUCGUAGUCCAUGCCGUAAACGAUGUGUGUUAGACGUUGGAAAUUUAUUUUCAGUGUCGCAGCGAAAGCGAUAAACACACCGCCUGGGGAGUACGACCGCAAGGUUAAAACUCAAAUGAAUUGACGGGGACC
This 792-nucleotide ribosomal RNA is filed under the name marine metagenome. RNAcentral's name for it is "bacterial SSU rRNA". It matches the Rfam family "Bacterial small subunit ribosomal RNA", at positions 92 to 921 of the family's 1533-position model. The record is from RNAcentral.